GCUGCUUCCGCCCUGGUGGGAAGGACCUCCCCUCCCCCCCGUAGAGAAACACUCUCCUCCGGCCCGGUGGUAUCGGGUUUGAUCGGGAUCGGGUCCUCCCAGUAAUAUGGAAAACGGGGCGUUGGGAACGGGCUCCGCUCUUUUCAGAGUAGCGCUGAUUUCCUCACUUGGAAGAGUGAUUCAGGAAUUGGAUGAGUCCCUGUGGCUUGUUUUGCCCUGAAGAGCAGAAGGCUUCGGUCCCAGCUGGUGUUGCCGAAGCAGC
Long non-coding RNA from Hyaena hyaena (striped hyena), 262 nucleotides. RefSeq lists it as uncharacterized. The transcript is spliced from 3 exons. Lineage: Eukaryota; Metazoa; Chordata; Mammalia; Carnivora; Hyaenidae. The record is from RefSeq and is a predicted model, not a curated record.